GUUAGUAUAAUUUAAAGUUAAAAUAUUAAUUUUCCAAAUUAAAUAUGAGAGUUAAAAUCUCUUUACUAAUA
Babesia microti strain RI is the source of this 71-nucleotide transfer RNA. It matches the Rfam family "tRNA". Rfam says of the family: Transfer RNA (tRNA) molecules are approximately 80 nucleotides in length. NCBI's taxonomy places the organism in Eukaryota, Apicomplexa, Aconoidasida, Piroplasmida, Babesiidae. The record is from Rfam.